Molecule: ribosomal RNA, 503 nt
Filed under: uncultured bacterium
Lineage: Bacteria
Description: bacterial SSU rRNA
Rfam family: Bacterial small subunit ribosomal RNA
Source: RNAcentral
GAUGAACGCUAGCGAUAGGCCUAACACAUGCAAGUCGAGGGGCAUCACAUGAGGCAGCAAUGCCGAUGGUGGCGACCGGCGCACGGGUGAGUAACACGUAUGCAACCUGCCUUCAACAAGGGGAUAACCCGUUGAAAAACGGACUAAUACCCUAUAAUACAGGGGUCCCGCAUGGGGAUAUUUGUUAAAGAUUGAUCGGUUGAAGAUGGGCAUGCGUUCCAUUAGCUGGUUGGUGAGGUAACGGCUCACCAAGGCAACGAUGGAUAGGGGAACUGAGAGGUUUAUCCCCCACACUGGUACUGAGACACGGACCAGACUCCUACGGGAGGCAGCAGUGAGGAAUAUUGGUCAAUGGACGCAAGUCUGAACCAGCCACGUCGCGUGAAGGAAGACGGCCCUACGGGUUGUAAACUUCUUUUAACGGGAAUAAAGUGCCCCACGCGUGGGGUUUUGCAUGUACCGUAUGAAUAAGGAUCGGCUAACUCCGUGCCAGCAGCCGCGGU